CUGAUCUCUUUUUCUAUAAAUAUGUUUGUUUUCGAAGCAUAAUUGACCUAUAAAUUAUGUUAGUUCCUGUUACACAACACGAUGAUUCAAUAUUUCUAUACAUUACAAAAUGAUCACCAUGAUAAGGCUAGUUACCAUCUGUCACUACACUAAGAUAGUACAUAAUUAUGGACUAUAUUCCCCACACUGUACAUUUCAUACUUUCGACAUUUAUUUUGCAACUGGAAGUGUACCUCUUAAAUGUCCCCAUCUAUUUCUCUUCUCCCCCUUACCUCUAGUUACAACUUAAAAGAUUUUUUUAGUAUAGUCGCUAUGUUGUACAACCAUAACCAUUAUCUAAUUACAGAAUAUUUUUAUCAUUCCCAAAUAAAACUCUAUUAGUCAUCCACGCCAAUCACCACUGCACCAUACACAUGUGAGCACACACAUACACACAAUUCCCAGGGAACCACUGAUCUAUUUUCCGUGUGGAUUUAUUUGUUCUAGACAUUCUAUAUAUAUGGUAUCAUACAAUAAAUGACCUUUUGUGUCUGGCUUUUUUCCCACUAGCAUGUUUUCAAGGCUCACAUAUUUGUAGCAGGUGAAGACCUUGUUGUCCCAGGACACAUUGAAAAGACUAUUCUUUUCCUGUGGCGUGCCUGACACAUUGUGGAAAAUCAAUUGACUAUGGACAUAUGGAUUUAUUUUUGGACUCUCAAUUCUAUUGCAUGGAUUCAUUAGGGGAAAAAUCUAUUUAUUAAAGAAUGAAUCUUAAAGACAGACUCAUGGAGAUGACACAUCGUGUUGGGGAAAUUGCUUCAGUUUUGUGCAAGAUCAGAACUUGGUGUCACUAUCCAACUAAUUAUGUGCCAGUUCCUGACAAUGACUUCUACAGGGAGAUGAUCUAUCUGCUGCUCUGUUCUACAGAGUCCUGCAUAUCAGGGCCAAGAACUCAAACUUCCACAUAUCUGGUCAUAAAGUUCUUGGAGCCUCUCCAUCUUACAUGAAUGUGAUUUAGUUUUUACCGCAUUGGGAUGUUUAAUUGUGAAUCUACUUGUUCAUAACACUACUCCAUGCUCAGAGUGACUGGAUCAAAAUCAAAGACAGGACCCAUGUGACACCAAUUGCUAUUCACAUUAUAAAUUGCCUUGCUUCAAACAUAAUUUCUUCAGUAAUCACAGCUUAAUAACAAAGGUACAUAACGUGCAGCCUGUAUGAUCAGAAUUCUCACAACAUUAGUAAGAAGAACAAACACUCCUACUCGUCCAUUAUCAGCACAAUAAUGAACAUAUUUUAAGUAUAAAUUAUUAUAUUUCGCAGAAUUUUGCUCUUCCCAAAUUCCAACACCGUGAAUAAAUAUAAUAGUCAUAUGAAAAAAUGAUGGAGUUUCUAUUCCAGGGAUUGGGUUCAAUGGCAUCUGAGCAUAAUUACCUAUAUAAAAAUAUUCUCUUUCCAGGAUUAUAUUAAAUGGUUACUUCCAAGAAGAGUGAAGAACACUUAAAAGUCCACAUCAUUCACCUACUUUCCAGAGUUUCAGAAUAAAGAUGAACUAGUUAAUUACUUUUAAAGGGGCAAUAAGCAAUCAAAUACCUUGUGAAAGUUAUAAUGCAAAAGUGAUUUUAUUCUCUUUCAGAUGAAAUUGUAUGUUUCAGCACCCUGAGGUAGGAAUAUAGUAAAGAACAGUUUUAAUUUGUUAAUGCAGUCUCAAAAAAUAUCUAGUAAUAACCAAAGUGCUCCAAAGAACUUAUUCAAGUAGCUAUUUCAAUGAAAUACAGAAAAAAAAAGGAAGACAUGGACCAUCUUAGGGAGGGCAGGGAGAGGCUACAAAUAAGCUAUGUUAAUAAAUAUAAAUUAGCGCUAUGAAAAUUUGGGUCAGAGACUUAAUAUUUGAUAAAGUCUUUACAGAAAUUUACUUUUGAAUGAGGUUUUGAUAGAGGAAAGGAGGAUGUUAUGGGAAAGAGAAUAGAAUUUAAAGAUAUUUUGUUUGAUUUAUGGUAUUUUAUAAUGAACACAACUUUAAAGGCAGUCCAUAUAAUCUGAUUUGAAAAGUCAGUGACUGAUGACGAAAAAAGAAAAUAUGGGUUACCUACUGAAUUUGUUUGUAUGAGUAAUGCAGGUAAUAAAUAUUUUAAACUCUCUUUUAUUCAGAGCUUUUCUUUGAACUCUUCUAUAUUAUUUCAAAUCAAAUCUCUAAAUUGUCAACCCCUGUAAACAACAAAAUUACAUUUUUCAAAUAACAAAAACUAGAAACAGUAUAAGACUGUCUUGAAAGCAAAUUUGUUUGUUCUUCAUAGAAAAGUGUUGAGCUGGAUAAAUUAAUAUUUAUUUUACUUACUUUCAUAUUAUCUGAUAAAUACUGAUUGAUGUACCCUUUAACAGGACUUCAGUUUCUCCCAUAAUUCCAGAAGAAAUUAUCUUUGUAGAGUCAAUCAGAAAGUCAAAUUAAUCAAAACAAUAAAGUUUAUAGUAUUUUUGUAAAAAUUACAAUUAUAAUUGUAAAAAUUUACAUUUUCAAUGAUAAUAAAACAACUUUC
Molecule: long non-coding RNA, 2513 nt
Organism: Sus scrofa (pig)
Lineage: Eukaryota; Metazoa; Chordata; Mammalia; Artiodactyla; Suidae
Source: RefSeq, a predicted model, not a curated record